This is a long non-coding RNA of Suricata suricatta (meerkat), 482 nucleotides long. RefSeq lists it as uncharacterized. The transcript is spliced from 3 exons. The record is from RefSeq and is a predicted model, not a curated record. NCBI's taxonomy places the organism in Eukaryota, Metazoa, Chordata, Mammalia, Carnivora, Herpestidae.
GUGGGAAGACUGCCCCCGCCCCCACACCACUGGGCCAGGUCUCUAUCUGCAAUGGGACGCCGGGGUCUUGCCAGGCAGGUUUCCUGUACUCUCCUGGCCGUUUGUCUCAAACAGAAAAACUGGACAUUGGAAAAGUAAAUUGUGACCCAAGAACUACAAAUGUUAAGAACCGAGUGACUGAGUUAGCAGCACUCUGAAGGACAUGGAAGGUUCAACGCUCACUCUCCCAGACUUCCUUGCAGUUAAGGAUGGCCAUGUGGCUUAGCCAAUGGGAAGCAAAUGUCCAUCUGCCAAGGAUGUGUCUCCUCUUUCUCCUUCUUCCUAUUGGGAUGCAGAUGUGAUGGUUGGAGCUGUAGCAGAUACCUUGUAAGCAUGAGGAAAAGGUUAAAAGCGCUAUACAGAUCUCAGUCCUGCUUAGCGACAACCACAACUUCCCUUUGGACCUCUUGCUGAGAAUCCUUUAUGCUUUAAACCACGCUGUU